AAGUCUGCUCACGUUAGUACGCUCGACGAACGGCGAACAGGUCGCGCGCGUUUAACUCUAUACCUAUUUUUAUAAUAUCAUCUAAUCGAUGUUUGUCGGUAUUGUUGGAUGAUACGCAAGUACACAGACAUUAUGUUAGAAAUGAUGAUAGAAAAAAAAAAAUGACGGAGUGAGCCGAAACGUUCGUAUGACGAAAUUACUCACAACAGGAAUUCGUAGAUGAUUUAUUUGACUCAGAUCAAGUGUAAUAGUGUUUACUACAAUAACUGUCGCUGUGUUUCGAAGCUUUGGUGGUUUACUUAAAUCGCUAGUAGUUCCAUACACGAUGAUACACCACGACGAUUACAGCGAACGUGUGUACGAAAGAAAGACGGACCAUUUGCAAGAACAAGAUCGGAGCGUACCAGGUUCACUACCGGCCGACGAUAGUCUUCCGUUUCCGCUGCUGCUGUCCGAGUGAGCCGACGGCGAAGGACACAUCGGUGGUUGUUGCAAAUUUUGUGGUCCGCCCGAUUGACUUCCCAACACACCCAAUCCCGCACCUGUACACGAGAAUCGUAUGUAUCGUUACGAUCGUUGCCGGUAUCCGAAUCGAUUCUUUCCUAGCUGAUUUAUAUUUUCUUUUUUUUUCAUUUUUCUGUUUCAUACCUAAACUCGAGGAUGCCAGGAUCUCUCUCUCCCGCCUCUCGGCGGCGGCGCGACUUAAAACAUAUUGCGCCGCGAACUGAUGCUUCGGGUCCAUUCUCAUGUGCUCCAUGUGACUCAACAAACCUUAACAGCAAAGCAGAGCAGACGCUCGAUAGAGUUUUUCAGUUAGUUUGGCAAGCUUGGAUGAACGAAUAAGAAUUAUUGAGUUAAUGAAGGUUCGAUAGAGUAACGUUUAGAUGAAAGUAACGGUAAGAAGAAUACACAUAUAUGUAUAAUAUAUAAUGGAGAAGAAGGAAUAUAAUAUAUACGUAGUUAAUGUAAGAGAUUGCACUUUUGAUACGAUUUUUGUGAAGAAGAAAAAUAUACUUACCGCUCUCGUGAGUGAAGACGGCCUGGCACACCGAGCACGGCCACAUCCUGAGGCUCGUGCUUAGUUGACUGGUCUCAGGAUGGCAGGCCAGGUGUUUCCUAAGACUACCCUCGUUGACGUAGUGUUUUCCGCACACUGGACACGGGUGGUUGGCGGUCCGUCGCUUCGCUAUGUAAACCCCGACAACGGAGGUUGUGCAGUCAGCGGAGGGAACAAUAGGGCGACACAAUUUCAAGGUCAAUGCUAAGCAGGAUAAAGCUUCCCAAGGAACGAAAGCCACCUCCUCCAUCAUCAUUAUCAUCACCACCACCACCAUCAAUUAUCAUCAUCAUCAUCAUCAUCAUCAUCAUCAUCAUAAUCAUCAAUAUAUCAUAUCAUAUCAUCGUCACGAUCGUCAUAUCACCAUCGUCAUUAUCAUCCUUCUUCGUUUAUUUAUUUAUUUAUUUAUUAUUAUUAUUAUUAUUUUUUUUUUUUUUUCAUUAUCAUCAUCACUAUCAUCUUCAUCAUCAUCAUCAUCAUCAUUCUCCUCCUUCUUUUCCUCCUCCAUCUCCUCCUUCUCCUCCACCUCCACCUCCUCCUCCACCUUAUUUCUCACGCAUUCGCGUGUACAGACGCGCGUACGUACGUCGACAUUCCAGUCGACCUCGAAGGCGAAGGGAGAAUCCUUGCAGACACGGAUAGCCGAGGACCAGGAGAGCACUGACCUCGGACGCACCGAGCGCUGCUUCUGCCGUUGCUGACUCCCUUUCACGAGCGAGGUCGUCGGCCCAAAAACCAAGAUGCACACGCACGUACGCGCGCUUGUUGCACGCUUAUAGACGCACAAAGAAAAGUUCGACGAAUCUCUCUCUUUCAUUAUAUUCGAUUUUUUUAUUUUUUUUCUAUUUACUUUUGUUUCUCUAGCAGUCUUUUUCCCAUUUCCUCCCCCUCGCUCGCUCCCCCUUUUUUUCAUUAUUUUCUCCCUUAUUGUUCGUUCUCCCUCUGCCAUUCCGUUUCUCUCCCUUUUCUCUUCGAAGAGACAUUCGAACGCCUUCUUCAAACGGACGAGGGGAAAUCAUGCGUUUAACGAUGCAUUCGGACGAAAGUUUACCAUUUUAUCAACACCUUUCUCGUCUUACUUGACAAAACACUCAACACCUUCGUUUUUUUUUUUUUUUAUCCGUCUACGUUAUGAAAAACACGAUGGAGGAAAGGAGACACGACGCGUCGAAAAACUGGGCAUGCUGUUUCUCGUUAGAUCAAGAGAUUCUCAUUUUCAUUGGCGCGAAGCAACGCUUUGUCGAUUCUUCUUCUCUGUACGUCUAUCCAUACGUAUUCGCCCCACACACUUGACAGAACACGCACCAAAGUCGAACGAAACACCCUUCUUAAAGCACCGGUUUUGUAUUAGCGAAUAUAGUAGUACGCAAGUAUUAGUCGGUGAGUGCGCUAAGUGCUACACCCCCUUUUAUCCCGUUCAGCGAAACAGUACGAAGAAAGUGACAGGACAAUGUGUGCAUAUCGCCCGCGCCAAAGCAAGUUCUUAGGUGGGGGAUGUGAAACGUACUUAAAGACUAAAGGACGAACCACCCCUCGUGUCUCGACGAGUGGUCGUUUCAUUUCUCUCUCACUCUCGCUCUCUCAUUCUCACUUUCUUACAUUCACCCUCCUUUUCACUCUUAUCAUGUAUACACGCAUACACAAUCUCUCUCUCCCUAGUUCCCUUUCUUUCCUUCCUUUUAGUCUUAUUCGCAAUUAAGGUACCCUCGUUACGUCUAUCUCCGUUCUUUCUUUCUCCUCGAAGGAAUUCUCGCGGGAAACCCUCGUUAGCUGGUGUUAGAAAGGACGAACCGGAUGGAAUCGCCAGCGAAAGUCGGAGACCACGAGGAGGAAGCGAUCGUAACGAAUCGUAAUCCGCGUGAAAAUGCGAUAACUUGGAUAACGCGUGCAAACUCGCUCUCCUCCGCGUCGUGUCCAACGGACGAGAAGCAGAAAAGAUUUGAUUAACACGUGUGGAUCGUGCGUUAGUCGAGGAUAGAGUGUUUCAGCGUUAGUAUGCAAAAUUUGACAAAAAAAAAAAAAAAGAAAAAAAGAAAAAAAAGAAGAAAGAGUUAAAAAAAAACAGACAGAGAAGAGAAGAGCCGGUGUUUUCGUGUAGACGCGUGGAACGAUAAAAAGCAAGGAGAAAGAAAGAAUGAGACGGACGAUAUCGAGGGGCGGUCUCGGUUAUCGUAGAUACUUACUGGCUACGCCGGAGGCAUUCGGAUCCUUGUGGGUGUGCUUCAUGUGCUCCAUAAGAGCUUCGCCACCGAGAAAGAGUUUGUGGCAGACAGGACAGCUGGUUGCGUUCGGGCCGCCGAUCAAGGCGGCGUGUUGCUGGAACACAACACGCUGUUGCAACUCCUUUUUUGGUGGCCGGAAGAAGAGGAACCGGAAGCAGGCAGACGCGGUGCACCGGUAGAGAGCCGACCCACAGAAUACCACCACAGAGUCGCGAACCAGAAGCGCAGGACAGGCAGCGCACAGAACAGAACGAUUGACCAGUGAGAGUUAGGGCACCGAUUUGCCGCCGCCACCACACAGACUAUUUCAUAUUGCAAAGGGAAUUCACCUCGAGUGUCUGGUAAGAUACGAGAGGAUCCAAGGUAACAGGGAUGCGUUUCGUUCUUUUGGGAAUUGUUCGGUAAUCUGAGACGAUGAAAGGGUGAAAGGACACUUGUGUGGAAAAAUGGGAGAAAGCAAAGCCCAGACAGACGAAUGUAUUAAAAGCGCGAGGUCUGGAGAACGAUCGGAACCGCUAACGCGAUCAAAGAAAGUUUCUGUGGUGGUUACUUGGAAAAGAACGCGAAAAGAUCUUUGGUGAAUCUCCGAUUGAUCUCGUUAGACCUCGCAGAUGAACGGGAAUGCAAAGCAUAGAUCACAUGACUAGCUAACUACACAAUUAAGAUGGCCUCUGUUGCAUUAUCGUACUAUUCGCGAUUCUGUUGAAUACAUAGCUCUUUUGUCUUUUUGCCGAACAACAAAGGCCAUCCUUAAGAAUGGACAAACACGAAGAGUAAUGAACGAAAUUCGACGUCCUCAUUGCAAGUAUCUGUCUUCGUCAUUGGCGACCUCGUAUCGAGAUACAAUUUUGCGGUGGUAUCAUUUCGAUCUUUCUUUUCAUUUUUUCUUUCUUUUUUUAUUAUUUCUUUUUCUUUUCUCUCUCGCACACGCGAAGGUCGGUUAUAGGCACACGAGGCGGUAGGGGCACGCGCUGAGGAAAAACAUGGCGGCCAACCUUGCUCGAAAGAGUGCUUAAAACGGAGAGAAAAAGAAUACGAAAAGGCGGGAAAGAAGAAGGAGGAUGUCGAGGUGGGAGGAAGGAAAGGCUAAAACGAGACCGGACGGCAAUGACCCCAAAGUUUUGGGAUCUUCGCGCCACUCGUUCCUUUCUUCCUGUCUACUCCCCGCCCUCGACUUUGAUACAACGAAUCCUUUUUCCUUUUUUUCUUUUCCUCUUCUUCUUUCCUCCACCUCGUUUCUCUCUCAUCUUCAACUUUUCCUUUCUCAUCGCGUCGAGUCGUCCUUCUCUCUUUAUUUUUCUCCUCCCCCCCUCUUAUCCUACCUCUAUCUUUACCGAAGCGAUUCGUAACCUUCUUUUUUCCCGGACCUAAGGCAACCGCAACCGAGUUGAGGCGAUCAACGAACGGUGGAGAGCCGAAUCUCGGGCAGGACCAGUUUAAAAUAACACCCAGGCGUGCGUCGUCGACCUUACGUUUCGGCUAGCCUUUUUUUCUCGCGAUUCUUCCCUUACCCCCUUCCCCGACCCUUCGUCAACCCGACUAAAGUAUCAGGCUCCAUUGUUUAUAACAAUGACUUUUACUUCUUCGACCUUCCACCUGAUUGCACGUUUUUUUAUUUUUCUUACUUUUUCCCAGACUUCCAUGAUUUCUUUUUAUCCCACGAUUAGCGUAUAUUUCAAGCGUCAAGGACUCCUUUCUUUUCUCGCUAAGGUAUAGGGCAAUCGCCGAGUUGCUUUUGUUCCUGUCGUAUUCUUUGCGCGUGCAAACUUCCUUGACCAGGGUCAAUCUACGUAGGCAGCCUUGGUCGAUUCGAAUGAAAAAAAAAAAAAAAAAAAAAAUAGAGAAAAAGAUGUUGGCAAAAAUAGCAGCAGGGAGGAAGAAGAACGUGAACGAACCCCGGUGUUUAGGAGGUCCUUGCCCUUCUUCCUUCCACCGCUUUCGCUUCUUCUUCUUUUUGCUCGUUCGAACACCCACGCUCUCCUCUCGGCGUUCUUUCUUUGCGGAUAAACGAUAUUCUUUUCAAGGCACGCUUCUCGCUUGUUUUCGUCAGGCCAAAGACCUGGGCGUCCUUCUUUCUUCCCGGACCUAGGGCAAGCCCGAGCCGGUCGAGCCGACACGGCACGCCGCGAAGAAGAUGCUGGUCGUCGACGUCUUCGGCGUCGCUGGGUGCUAGUGUUGCUGGUGCAGCAGCAUCAGCAGCAGCAUGCAAGUUAUUCUCGGAGGGAGGCUGCGGUCCGUAGGUUCGACGCCCCGACCUGGCCCAACUGGAAAAAACCGGUUUCUUCGUUGCACUCUUCCUUUUUUGCCUGCAUCCUCGCUUUUUGCACCGCGAAUACCUCGGCUCUCCUGGCCGUCGCUCUCUUUCUUCUCGUUUCUUCUGCACGGCAUGCAUCUGUCCUCCUCUUAUCUCUUUCGCAGGCCAUUGCUUUUCUCUCCUCUCUCCUCUCCUCUCCUUUCUCUUUGCCCCGCUUGCCGUCUCUCUUCGCACGCCGCGCUGACUCGAGAGAGAGUGGUUGGAGCGUGGGCGAAUCCCCAAGGGACUUUAUGAUUCGCCGUGACCAGAUUCAUCUCUCUUCUCCGCUACACGUACCUACGUGGCUGUAGCAGCUAACUCCGAGCUCGAUUACUCGCCUCUAUUCCCAAUUCCAUGCUUCCUGAUCCAUCGGCCCAGUCUCGACCCGUAUCUGGGUCAGCAUUCGUGACGCGAGGGAAAAAAUUGUCGAUCGACCUAGUCCCGUCGAUCCUGCUCGAUUUAGGAUACCGCGCGAGUAUGUCUGCUCGGUUUUCACCGGUUUACCACCGAUGUGUUUAUCCGGUCAAGCUCGUCGGAGUGUUUAAAGCAGGUUCGAAUCAGGGAGUGGCGUAAAAAGGAAGUGGGUGUGAGCACACGCGUAGCGACGCGUGACGUUGGGCCGUGUAUGGAGCCAUUUUGUGUUCAAAGAAAAGGGACCAUCUUUGAUCGAGUCGAAGAAAAGCGUUUCCUCUCUAAGAAGUCGCGACAAAGGUUUUUGACGGAAAUUCGCGUAGGAACCAGAGAAUCUAUGGCCGGUCCUUCUGUUUUUCUCGGUGCAACGCGAUAAAGCCCGAAGGUUAUUCUCGCGACACGCAAUUCUUUUCGCGUCAUUUCUCCUCUUUUUUUUUUUUUCUUCCUCGGCCGUCUCCUUUCCUUGGCUUUUUUAGCCGCAACGAGGCCGCGCGAGCCUCGCCGGCAGACAACCUUCGUACGAUACUCGGCUACACCGAUAAACUUUGAAUCUGUGAAAGGUAUUCACCUCUUUUAUUCUCAGCCAGAUGCUCGAUUUUUGCCGCGAAACCCUUUCCGCGUCAUCUUCGCUUCGAUCUUAAGGCGAUCCUCGAAGAAGAACCCGGUCCUCGAACGUGUCGCGACAAAAAUCCCUGCCGGCUAUUAACGCCUGAUCGUCACGCUUCAUCGCCGCGAAUGUAAUUGAAAAAAAAAAAAAAAAGAAAAAAGAAAAAUAAAAAACGUGUACGCGUCAGAGAUUGAACGAACGCGAAAUAAUCCGCGGCGGGACACGUGUGAUCUUUUUCAUUACGGGCUGUUUGAUUUGUCGCGUCUCUUUUGCUUCCAUUCUAUCGUCUAUCGCGUAUUAUUCCGAGCCGUCGCGUUUUUUGGCGUAUCACGCGCUGGUAAUCCGCGCGUUAUGCGUGUCCAAUCACCCCCGAAGAGCGAGGAAAGGCUACCGGCAUAUACAGACAGAGAGAGGAGAAAAAAAAACACAACAAAAUGUAACAACCGGGAAAGGGUUGAGGACGCAGCUUUAUCCCCCCCGAGUGUUGUACCAAUAGCAGUUUCGACGCGACCCUCUAGCGCUUUCGUUCGACUAGGAGAGCGAAAAAACGCAGGGGUGUCGUUGCACAAUAGGCAGAAAUCCCACCCCAACGGAAUCGACGCGGGAAUGAUUUCAUUAGGUCUCGGUCUCGAUGAUGGAGCAUAUACACGGUAGCCAGAGGGAGGAAAAAAAAAGGGGGCCCGCAGGGGCGGAGACUGUGCAAAAAAUUAAUAUCGAGGGGGUUGCGAGAGAAAGGAAAGAAAAAAAAAAUGCCGGAAUCGAAGAGGAGAUCUCGUCGGAACAAGCGACGCGUCGUGCUUUUCUAUCGAACACGCGUAUAAAGAAGUUCUCGGGAAAGCUCCGUUCGUCCCACUUUUCUAUUUUAACGCCGUAAAAGAGACAAACAGCAUAGUUCUUCUGGAGAUGCGCCAGACAGCGAUGUUUAACGACGAGAGCGGUUCACGCGGGGACGCGUAACACAGCAGGGAGGAGAUUAUUUCGGCUAAGAGCGGAAAUUGGUUCAAUUGUAAAAACGUCGAAGCAGGUGUAAAUAUUGCACCCUGCGCCCUGUUUCUUCCUAGAGACGGGUUUGCGGUUUUCAUCGAAGGACGACUCUUGAACCGUAGGUAUUAAUUUCACGACUUCGUUAAACGCGUUCCUGCUGGAGGGAUAAGAUGAAAGAGAAAAGAAAAAAAAAUAUUGAAAUCGUUUAGAUCGACGUCGAAUCGAGAGAAAGAAACGUGAUCGUUAGGAUGGAUGCAAAGGACGUGAUCCAUUAACGAAUGCCAGAUACCAGACACGUGGAACGUAUUCGAAUUUCCGCUGAAUUUCAUCGAAUUUCGGGGAAAUAAUAGUCGAAGGAUAUGGAGAGUACGAGCCGCGGUUUGUCGAUCGUUCUCGUGGAGAAUGAAAAGCGAAAUUUUGCAAGCGAACUGGAAUUACACUCGAAAGGAAUUCCCAUGGGCUCGAAAAUAUUCUGACCCGAUCGUUUUACCUUUAAUCGUUGCCACGGGUACUUGGAACACUGCGACAAAGAGAGACCAGCAUGAAAUGAAGAUCAAUUUUCAUUAAUUCGAGACAGUUAAUAAAUCAGUUGCAUUUUUUUUUUUUUUUUUUUAGAAUGCCCAUAUUCCAACGUCCUUUGCACGAUAGGAAAAGGAUGAACAAGCGUUUCGUUUUCGACUCGACGGUGCUUUGUAACGCGCGCGUUUCUUUAUUAUUUUGAAUUAUUAUCUUUAAUGUAAAAUCGCGCGCGAUGAUCCGAGAGAAAAUUUGGAAUAUUUUUGAUUGGACGCGAACCGAAAGCAAAAGUAGUUAAAAAGAAGCACAGCAUAACGAGCGCGCGAGCGCGGCUUUCUAGAACACGAAAAUGAAUCCCCGUGGCGAGGAAAAAUAAAUCUAAUGGCUAACGAGUUUUUACCGAGCUCCGUGCUUGGGCAAUUAAGAAGAGGGUAGAAGAGGGGCUCGAUGGGGGUAGGUGUAGUACCGGAGGUGAAUCGGAAGAAGGUCGAAGGUACGAGAAAGUCCGCCAGCAGAAAAGGGGUUGUGUAUCGUGUUGCACGACAUUCAACCCUUGUACCGCUAAACUACAGAUAAAUACGAAGGCUGUGUGCCACGGAAAAGUGGGUAAGACGCGACGAGAGGGAAUAGCAGCGAAAGAAACCCAGGCAGGGUGCGAGUUGGCAGCGGUUUUGCUUGAAAUUUUUCACCCCCUUUUUCCUCUCUCUACGUACACCAGUACUCUGACGCUUUUGUUUUUGCAUUUGCUGAUCAAUUUCAUGAUCGAACACGUUGCCUGUCGGUGUACGCGUAAAGCUCAGGAGAAUUCGAAGAAACACAUCAGCCCCGUUUGUUCUUCGGCUGGUUGGAAACAAAGAAAGGGAUAAUACAGUUCGUAAGACGCACGAAGGAAGCGCAGAGGGAGGAAAUCCAAGUUUCUACGGCUGGCUACCGAUCGUUCUCUAUAAUACAUUUACACUCUGCCCUAUUAUAAUAUUGUACUCGGAGUGUAUUGUCUUUCUUGGUCGAGAUAAUGUUUCGCCGACACGCCAGGUCUCGACCCACAGCGUAACUCUUUCAUUUCCCCUUUCUAUCGUUCUUCCUUCGGUUCUUGCCAACCUCUCUCGCUCUCGGUUAUUUUUUUCUUUUUAAACAACGAUCCAUUAGCUAUCAGGGUAGUCGAGGCAGGGAUGGGGGCUAGUAGAUAGCCUGGAAUAGCGAAAACAAUUUCAAGAAAUCUGCCCCGGCGAAAAUUCGAUUAGCCGCGCAAGAUGGGCUCUCUCGAGGUACUUCUCUCUCGCUCUCUCUUACUCUCUUCGUCCCUCCAUUUGUUUCGUUUCGUUUCGUUUCGUUUCGUUUCGUUUCGUUUCGUUUCGUUUCCUUUCCAUUCCUUUCCUUUCCUUUCGUUUUAUUUUCACCGACCGGACCGACUCUGUUUCUGUCGCGCUGGCGGCUUUUAAUUACUUCUCCGCACUCUCGCGCAACAUCUUCUCUUCGUGUUCGCGUUCCUCUUCCACGUCAUCGUCAUCUUCCACUUCUCCACUUUCUGGCUGUGCUUUUAACCGCGAUUCACCACCGGCUACGUUUAACUCGAAUCCUUCCUCCUCUCGCGACGAAUACGUCCACGAUUGUUCGUCUAUUUUGCUAACGACGAGAAGCGAAUCGAUGCGAGUUGAAAAUGGGAUUCUCCAGGAGAAUUUAUCGAGAUGCGAAAACUCCUGUGAAAAGGGGGGAAUCCGAGGGUCUUAACCGAGGAUUAGCUUUCAAUUAGAGGAUCUCGACGGGCCGGACGCGUUAAAAGAAGGAUAUUUAUUGGCAAGAAAACGACGCGGGGCUGGAUUACGGUCGCGUGGCUCGUCAAACUUGCACCUGAUUCCACAACGAAACGAGAGUGUGGUUCGAGAAGGCUGAAGCAGCCUGGGGAGCAUCUUUUCCUCCCAACAUCCUUGCCUCGGAUGAGAUCGUCGAGGCUUUGCUAUCGGAUCAAUUAAAUUUCUGUAUUUUUUAAACGGGAACGCGUAUCGUUGCCAUCGCAGCGUUAAUCGAUAAUCGUCUUGAUCGGGUCCACUUUUCGAACUCGUGUAGGGAGAAUGUCAGUUUCACGACUGGUUACGCAACGUGCUCCUCGGGUCUAAUUGGCUAGGAGAGAAAGAAGUCGAUAUAGGUUUUUCAUGGGGACGAAAGAAGCGCGAGAAGACAGCGAAGAGAAACAAGAGAAAAGACCGACUCACGUACAGAGGACUCGACAGAUGCCUUCCCACGUUUUUUCGUCAAGACAUGUGCCUGGCGCGGCGAAAGGGUUGAGAAAUUCAGUUGGUCGAGCGAACCGGGCAAAAAAGCACCCCACGGUACAAGAUUCCUUUGGUAAUCGCUACGUGCCGCGAUUCACCGUCAGGGGUGAAUUCGAUUAAGCGUCGUAGACGCGAUCUUUUUCCCAGAUCGUUGCAUUUUUUUUUUUUUCCUUUCACAUACUAUUCGUAAUGGAUGCUCCUUCUUCGAUGCUUUCUCCCUUUUUUCUCAUUGCGUUUCACGCGAUAUCGACGCGUCAACGAACGCUUAUUGUUCGCUCCCUCGUCGCGUCUCUUAUGCAAACAUCGUCGUCGUCGUAUUUUGAAACGAGUUUCUCGUUGUAACAUAUUUUUUUUUCUGUUUUAGGUCGAUGACGUCGCGUCGAGGAUGCUGUUCGACGAGCAGUCAGUUUGCGAUUGAUAAAUGGACGAUCGAAGCCACGAGAAAAUUGUGCAUCGCUCUGCGAAAUCCCGUUCAAGUCCGAAGCGUCUGGUCGGUGAAAGAAAAAAAAAAAAAAAAAAAAAAAAAAAAA
Osmia lignaria (orchard mason bee) is the source of this 10890-nucleotide long non-coding RNA. RefSeq lists it as uncharacterized. The record is from RefSeq and is a predicted model, not a curated record. NCBI's taxonomy places the organism in Eukaryota, Metazoa, Arthropoda, Insecta, Hymenoptera, Megachilidae.